Molecule: ribosomal RNA, 125 nt
Filed under: uncultured bacterium
Lineage: Bacteria
Description: partial 16S ribosomal RNA
Rfam family: Bacterial small subunit ribosomal RNA
Source: RNAcentral
UGAGGAAUAUUGGUCAAUGGGCGGGAGCCUGAACCAGCCAAGCCGCGUGAGGGAAUAAGGCCCUACGGGUCGUAAACCUCUUUUGUCGGGGAACAAAAGCGGGGACGCGUCCCCGUCUGCGUGUA